CAAAAAGUACAGCUUUGUUUUCAGUCCUGUUACAGGGUAUCCAUGGAAACGAGGAUGACUUUCCAAUCCUUUUCUGGGGAAGGCACUGCAUUCACUGCAAUACAGUCUCUUCAACUAAAAUUUUGCAAAACAGCUCCCCAGGGUGACUGCUUUUUAUCCAAAAAGCCUGCAGUACAGCUGGCUGGAGGGAGCUAGCCCCUUUUAACCCUCCCACAAAACUGGCAUUUCUCAGCAGGUCUGGGGAUCCUGCUUUCCAGCUGGAUUUCAUGGGAGAGGAGAGCAGCCAGCAUCUCCUGCUGACACCAAACCCCUUCCCAAGAUUUCUUCUUCUGCCACAGCGCUGCCAUGAGCAGGAGUUUGUUGUGAGCAUCCCAACACAUCUCUCAGCCAGCUCCUUCCCUGGCAGCACUGGAUUUGCUGAAGGGGGAUGGGACCCUACACUUUGCACUUGCUGCCAUUCCUGA
This 464-nucleotide long non-coding RNA is filed under the name Zonotrichia albicollis (white-throated sparrow). RNAcentral's name for it is "lncRNA (ENSZALG00000016493.1)". The record is from RNAcentral. Lineage: Eukaryota; Metazoa; Chordata; Aves; Passeriformes; Passerellidae.